RNAcentral lists this ribosomal RNA (1893 nucleotides) under human gut metagenome. Its description in RNAcentral is "bacterial LSU rRNA". It matches the Rfam family "Bacterial large subunit ribosomal RNA", at positions 3 to 1985 of the family's 2925-position model. The record is from RNAcentral.
UCAAGCUAAUAAGGGCGCAAGGGGGAUGCCUUGGCAUUGGUAGCCGAUGAAGGACGUAGCGAUCUACGAUAAGCCACGGGAAGUCGAAAGCAGGCAAUGAUCCGUGGAUUUCCGAAUGGGGAAACCCGGCAGAGCAAUACUCUGUCAACUCCUUGUGAAUAAAAUAGCAUUGAGUAGGGAACCUCCUGAACUGAAACAUCUAAGUAGGGAGAGGAAAAGAAAUCAACCGAGAUUCCGCUAGUAGUGGCGAGCGAACGCGGAAGAGGCCAAACCAAGAGUAGUAAUACUUUUGGGGUUCGGACUGAGCACGGUAUUGACAAAGGUUAGUAGAAUGAAAUGGGAAGUUCAACCAUAGAGCGUGAGAGUCGCGUAUACGAAAACUUGAGUCAGCCAUCAGUAUCCAGAGUACCGCCGGACACGUGAAACCCGGUGGGAACACGGGGGGACCACCCUCCAAGCCUAAAUACUCACCAAUGACCGAUAGUGUAUAGUACUGUGAAGGAAAGGUGAAAAGAACCCCUGGCGGGGAGUGAAAAAGAACCUGAAACCUUGUGCCUACAAGCACAUAGAGCACAUCAACGUGUGAUAUGGUACCUUUUGUAGAAUGGUCCGGCGAGUGAAUGUCACUAGCGAGGUUAAGGACUUAAGGUCUGCAGUCGAAGCGAAAGCGAGUCUUAAUAGGGCGCUAAUAGUUAGUGGUAUUCGACCCGAAACCGAGUGACCUAGCCAUGAGCAGGCUGAAGUGGAGGUAAAACUCCAUGGAGGGCCGAACCCACUCCCGUUGAAAUGGUAGGGGAUGACUUGUGGCUAGCGGAGAAAUUCCAAUCGAACUCGGAGAUAGCUGGUUCUCUCCGAAAUAGCUUUAGGGCUAGCCUCAAAUAACAUUACCGCAGGUAAAGCACUGAAUGGGCUAGGGGGCGAAAGCUUACUGAACCCUAUCAAACUAAGAAUGGCGGAUAAUGAAUAUUUGGGAGUCACACUACGUGAGAUAAGUUUCGUGGUGGAAAGGGAAACAGCCCAGACCCACAGCUAAGGUCCCAAAGUACAGUUAAGUGGAAAAGGAUGUGAAGUUGCGCAGACAACCAGGAUGUUGGCUCAGAAGCAGCCACUCAUUCAAAGAGUGCGUAAUAGCUCACUGGUCGAGUGAUUUUGCGCCGAAAAUUUAACGGGGCUAAACUGUACACCGAAGCUUGGGAAUAUACCUCUGGUAUGUUGGUAGGAGAGCGUCGUAUGCGGGGUGAAGUCGUAGCGAAAGCGGCGGUGGACUGCAUAGGAGUGAGAAUGCCGGAAUGAGUAGCGAGAAUUAUGUGAGAAUCAUAAUGGCCGAAAGACUAAGGUUUUAGAAGGAAGGUUCGUCCGCUUCUAGUUAGCCGGGAGCUAAGGCGAGGCCGAAAGGCGUAGUCGAUGCACAUACGGUUGAGAUUCCGUAGCCACCUUAAAUUUAAACUAAGGGACACAUUGAAAGGGAAUAACCCAGGCGUUGGUUGACCUGGGCGUAAGGGAACGAAAAUAAGUAGUGAAGUAUUCUUGGACAGUGGCGAGAAAAGCUUAGUGUAUAUUAUUAGGGUGCCCGUACUGCAAACCGACACAGGUAGUCAGGAAGAGAAUUCUAAGGCCAUCGGGAGAAGCGUUGUUAAGGAACUCGGCAAAUUGACCCCGUAACUUCGGAAUAAGGGGUGCUCACGCGAGUGAGCCGCAGUGAAUAGGUCCAGGCAACUGUUUAUCAAAAACACAGCUCUCUGCUAAAUCGUAAGAUGACGUAUAGGGGGUGACACCUGCCCGGUGCUGGAAGGUUAAGAGGAGGAGUGCAAGCCCCGAAUCGAAGCCCCAGUAAACGGCGGCCGUAACUAUAACGGUCCUAAGGUAGCGAAAUUCCUUGUCGGGUAAGUUCCG